Molecule: ribosomal RNA, 293 nt
Filed under: uncultured bacterium
Lineage: Bacteria
Description: partial 16S ribosomal RNA
Source: RNAcentral
GGACUACCCGGGUAUCUAAUCCUGUUCGCUCCCCACGCUUUCGCUCCUCAGCGUCAGUAUCGGCCCAGAGACCCGCCUUCGCCACCGGUGUUCCUCCUGAUAUCUGCGCAUUUCACCGCUACACCAGGAAUUCCAGUCUCCCCUGCCGAACUCCAGUCAUGCCCGUAUCGACCGCAAGCUCAGGGUUAAGCCCCAAGUUUUCACGACCGACGCGACAGACCGCCUACGAGCUCUUUACGCCCAAUAAUUCCGGACAACGCUCGCACCCUACGUAUUACCGCGGCUGCUGGCAC